UACGUAGGGCGCAAGCGUUGUCCGGAAUUAUUGGGCGUAAAGAGCUCGUAGGCGGCUUGUCACGUCGGGUGUGAAAACCCGGGGCUCAACCCCGGGCCUGCAGUCGAUACGGGCAGACUAGAGUGCGGUAGGGGAGACUGGAAUUCCUGGUGUAGCGGUGAAAUGCGCAGAUAUCAGGAGGAACACCGGUGGCGAAGGCGGGUCUCUGGGCCGUAACUGACGCUGAGGAGCGAAAGCGUGGGGAGCGAACAGG
RNAcentral lists this ribosomal RNA (253 nucleotides) under uncultured bacterium. Its description in RNAcentral is "partial 16S ribosomal RNA". It matches the Rfam family "Bacterial small subunit ribosomal RNA", at positions 524 to 776 of the family's 1533-position model. The record is from RNAcentral.